UUUUUACCCAUUACCAGCUCAGCAUUUCACUUUACCACACCCCCACCCCACUAGGGUUUGGUGAAAUUGAAUCACUCGCGGAAGUUGACUCAGUGAGUUAUAACGACUCAGUGACUACUGCUUGUUGGCCAGCCGCCAGGCUGAGGUUGCAAUCAGCGGCCGUGUAUGCCAUCCCAGCAUCAAACACCCAUUAUUCUCUUCCACUCUAUACCCAUCUCCGCCAGCAAAUAGGGCCAGUAGCAUGCUUGCUUGUUUGAACGCGUUCGAGCCGAGGUGAACCGGCACAAACCCGGAAGAGCCCAGACGAGUUCGCCACUGAGCCAGUGUUUCGUGUCUUUCAAUUCGGUCUGUCCCUUCACAUGCCACGACAUUGCAAAUCUGCUUCCCUAAAUACACCUCUGACAUCACCUUAUCUUGGGUACUGACCGAUCCCUCCAACGAGUCGAACAGAGUCGAGUAAUAAUGCAAUGACUCAGUGAACCGGUCCAGGAAAAUUGGCCCAUUAUGGUUCGCUUCUUGCUCAACAAUAGUAACAAUCUCCGGUUUCAUCUGCUUCACCACCGAAAGGACCUUUUCAAUGGC
RNAcentral lists this unclassified non-coding RNA (582 nucleotides) under Hevea brasiliensis (rubber tree). The record is from RNAcentral. Lineage: Eukaryota; Viridiplantae; Streptophyta; Magnoliopsida; Malpighiales; Euphorbiaceae.